RNAcentral lists this ribosomal RNA (464 nucleotides) under Vreelandella stevensii. Its description in RNAcentral is "partial 16S ribosomal RNA". It matches the Rfam family "Bacterial small subunit ribosomal RNA", at positions 339 to 795 of the family's 1533-position model. The record is from RNAcentral. Lineage: Bacteria; Pseudomonadati; Pseudomonadota; Gammaproteobacteria; Oceanospirillales; Halomonadaceae.
CCUGGGGUGGCAGCAGUGGGGAAUAUUGGACAAUGGGCGAAAGCCUGAUCCAGCCAUGCCGCGUGUGUGAAGAAGGCCUUCGGGUUGUAAAGCACUUUCAGUGGGGAAGAAAGCCUUGGGGCUAAUACCCUCGAGGAAGGACAUCACCCACAGAAGAAGCACCGGCUAACUCCGUGCCAGCAGCCGCGGUAAUACGGAGGGUGCGAGCGUUAAUCGGAAUUACUGGGCGUAAAGCGCGCGUAGGCGGUCUGAUAAGCCGGUUGUGAAAGCCCCGGGCUCAACCUGGGAACGGCAUCCGGAACUGUCAGGCUAGAGUGCAGGAGAGGAAGGUAGAAUUCCCGGUGUAGCGGUGAAAUGCGUAGAGAUCGGGAGGAAUACCAGUGGCGAAGGCGGCCUUCUGGACUGACACUGACGCUGAGGUGCGAAAGCGUGGGUAGCAAACAGGAUUAGAUACCCGGGUAGUC